This 387-nucleotide ribosomal RNA is filed under the name uncultured eukaryote. RNAcentral's name for it is "SSU rRNA". It matches the Rfam family "Eukaryotic small subunit ribosomal RNA", at positions 587 to 972 of the family's 1831-position model. The record is from RNAcentral.
AGCUCCAAUAGCGUAUACUAACGUUGUUGCAGUUAAAAAGCUCGUAGUUGGAUUUCUGAUUCUUGUCGUUGGUUGGGCGGCCGCGUGUCGCUCGCCUCGCACAGGAGUCAACAUAUGUCACGAGCCAGUGUGAUCUAUUCAUUUAGGUCCGCUGGGUAAUGACUCGUUUACUUUGAGAAAAUUAGAGUGUUCAAAGCAGGCAUUUGCCUUGAAUAUGUUAGCAUGGAAUAAUAGCAUAGGACUUCGGUUCUAUUUGUUGGUUGUUCGAGAACUGGAGUAAUGAUUGAUAGGGACGGUUGGGGGCAUCUGUAUUCUCAAGCGAGAGGUGAAAUUCUUGGACCUUGGGAAGACAAACAGCUGCGAAAGCGUUUGCCUAGGACGUUCUCU